UUGACAUCUUUUGCUUUUACAAAAAAGUUCUUUAGAUAUUUUUGUUGUUUGCUAGUUUUGUAUCCUAAUCCGGCUUUAUUAAAAACAGCUCUUUGAUUGGAUAGGAUAAGAUUUAAUUUUUUUGAGCUAUGUGUAAAUUUCUGCACAAUUGGUUUAUACUUGUGUAGCUCAUCUUUAAGGUCCAAAUUUUCUUUAGCUAAUUCUUCCUUAUCAUUUUUAAGGGAUUCAACAUUUUGUGCAAGUGAAGUAUUACUAUUGAGGAGGAUGUGUCACUAUCAUCCCAAGUCGCUUUCAACGCCUUCUUCUUCUUCUUUCCAUAGUGCCUCUUCUGUUGAGGGCAUUCGGAGCGGAUGUGUCCCGGUCUCUUGCAAUCAUAACAUAUGAUUGGGUCUCUUUCUUUUUCUUUUCCUUUUUCCAAUCAUUUCUCCCUCCAAACUUCUUUCUUGGGAAGGCCUUCUUUCUUCUUAUGAAUUUUUGGAACUUCCUUACUAUUAAGCCCAAGUCUUCAUCUUCACUUUCUUCUUCACUUUCACUGCUUUCUUCUUCACAAAC
This 552-nucleotide long non-coding RNA is filed under the name Phoenix dactylifera (date palm). Its description in RNAcentral is "long non-coding RNA (PDAC_LNC010698)". Lineage: Eukaryota; Viridiplantae; Streptophyta; Magnoliopsida; Arecales; Arecaceae. The record is from RNAcentral.